UACGGAGGGUGCAAACGUUGCUCGGAAUCAUUGGGCGUAAGCGCACGUAGGCGGCCUGUUAAGUCGGGUGUGAAAGCCCUGGGGCUCAACCCCAGGAAGUGCACUCGAAACUGGCGGGCUUGAAAUAUGGAAGAGGGUCGCGGAAUUCCCGGUGUAGAGGUGAAAUUCGUGAGAUAUCGGGAGGAACACCAGUGGCGAAGGGCGGCCGACCCUGGGGCCAAUAUUGACGCUGAGGUGACGAAAGGCGUGGGGAGCAAACAGG
RNAcentral lists this ribosomal RNA (262 nucleotides) under uncultured bacterium. RNAcentral describes it as "partial 16S ribosomal RNA". It matches the Rfam family "Bacterial small subunit ribosomal RNA", at positions 524 to 776 of the family's 1533-position model. The record is from RNAcentral.